UUACAGGCCAUCUAUUUUCUUAGAGUCUAGAAGACAGUGGAAGUCUGGAAGCUAUUUUUAAAGCCAUCAACUCCUCCACCAUAUCUCCUCCUUCUAAUGUUGAGUAUGAGGAGAGGUGUUUGCCGGCAGCUGGAGAAAUUUGGAAUCCUGGGUGGAGAUGGAUCUGUGAUUUUCACAGACAUCAGGACCCAGCAUUCAGGUGAAUGAUAAGGACAUGAGUCAGAAAGGUGGAGGGACAACUUCACACAGACUGAAGGGAAACUCGGAGGAAGAGAGCACAAUACACAUCUAAUGCUGAAGAGGCUGAACACAGUAAUGACAGGAAUGCAUGAGCAUGAAAACACACAGGCAAUCCACGGCAGAAAGAGAACCCACAGAGAAGAAAGACGUUACAUUAGCCAACACCUAUGGCAAUGGGUUACCACACAAUGCUGAGGUCGAUGCAAAACUUUGAACUGACAUAUUUUGGAAAGUGAGUCCAAGAAACAGAAGAAGGAAUGGAAAUGGGAGGGAUAAAAGACAGUUCAUGGGAUCGCAUCAAAUCUGUUCAUACGGGAGCUGCCAGAAAUCAGUUCUGUUCAGGAGCUUCAAAAACUCAAGAAUGGGAUUCAGAAUUCUCUGUUUUGGUGGGAAAAGAUGUUUAUCCAUCACCUCCUAAACUCUGACUCAAGACUCCAUUACGUUUGCAGGUUUUCACAAGCAUCUGAACCCUAAGUGGGAUUUGCUAAUGCUCAAAUAAUUAUCAAACUCUACAGCAGAACAUGAAGGAUAUUCAAUCCAUACAAUUUAACAUGCAAGUAUCACCAUAGCAACUGAGGUCAAAAGAUGGGCAGAAAGGAUCUGAUCCAGAGCAGUGCUCAUCACCACCUGUCUGCUUUGGUAGCUGAAGAACGACUCCAUUACUGGUCUGCGGGCUCGGGUGUCACAUGCAGAGGUUGGAACUGCAUCUCUGAAGUUAACUUAAGCACAUUGUUCAACAGUUUAUCAAGUCAACAAAACAAAAAUGAGUGAUUUUGUGAAAAAGCCAUGGUUUAGCAUCUUAGAAUAAGAGUUAAGUGAAGAGAUUAGGUGAGUCUGUUCUUGAGCAACAACCUCUUGGGUUAGGUUUUCUUCAAUUUGACCACCAUUUCUGUGGCAUAUUUUUUUUAAAGCACAGUGUUACUGAUUCAGCCUCAGAGUAAAGGGGCUAUCUUCCAAUACUGGUUGGUGAGAUGCCUGGAACUUAUUGUUGGGGUGGGGAUAAACAGGUACAGAAGACAUGAGUAUUUUCUGUUCAUGUUUGGGACUUGCCUAAAUCUAUCACCUACUUUAAAAAACAGAAUUAACUUUGCUGAUCACUGAAGAGAAGUAUUCAGCUUCUAGCAGACCCCUUAUCACCCAGCACUCAGCCACCAUCCAGUAGAGUGACUGUUGGCUAAGCCUCCCACCUUGGUAUAUCUGCCUCCACACCAGAAAUGUAAGGAACACCUAAAAGGCUUAAUGUGCUCAUAUGUGAAGCUCCCUCCAGCUCUGACAUUCAGGAAUGCCACGAUUCCAUAUCUAAGAGCUCAUGGUACACACACCCUGUAGAGGUGACUUCUGAGCUUAGCCAGCGUGUCACAGAGCCCCCACCAUGUCUCUGGAGUGGGAAGGCAACAGCUCCCUUUGCAGGGUUCUCAAAAGUAAAGCAUGAGUUCUUCUCCACUGGAGUCAUCUUGCUCCUAGAUUUUAUCUGAGCGCCAUAUUACAGCCAUUUCCUCUGAAUGUCCUAUCCCUUCACAUCUAACUCACCAGCGAUCAUAAAUCAGAAUCCUGGUAGGGAAUAAGCCAUCCAGGCAGAAUUGAAUAGUUUCUGGUUCUGCUGACAGUAAUUUUAAAUGACUCUCUCUGCCCUUGCCUUUGUGACAGUGUCCUCUCUGUGCAGAAUUUUCUUCUUUAAAUACUUCCCUAAAGUUUUAAUUUGCUUCCUUCAUUAUGCUUUCUUACAGAAAAAUUCUAUGCUCAGUAUUGCUUUAGCAACAGUCCUCUGCUCUCACACCCUUAGCGCUGGCUCACCUGAGACCCCGCCAACACGGUCAGCUCUACUGCGCUGCCUGGGCAAAGUGCAAGGCCUGCUUUCCUGGGUGUUGUAGCUAGUGAGGGGCAGUGCCAG
Long non-coding RNA from Peromyscus leucopus (white-footed mouse), 2131 nucleotides. RefSeq lists it as uncharacterized. The record is from RefSeq and is a predicted model, not a curated record. The transcript has 4 exons. NCBI's taxonomy places the organism in Eukaryota, Metazoa, Chordata, Mammalia, Rodentia, Cricetidae.